UUCCAGUAGGUGAUAAAUUAUGACCGUGAUCCUUUGCUGCUUGUUGUAUGAUUGGUCAGUUCCCAUUUCAAAGCAGUGUGUCUCUCUGACAAACUAAAAUGUGUUUCAACUUUCUGUUCUGACUGUCGUCGGGGAACUGCAGUUUUUAGCACCUCCGCAUUGGACUCAUAUUUUUAGACCGGAGGUUGCUGCUUGGAUACAACGCAAGAGGACGAUGAAAAGGACUGUCUGGACGGGCAACAACAAUAUGAUGCGGACCCACUGAGGGCCCCCAAGGACAACGCUCAGUUGAACCCUGUCAACUCCAUUACCUGCUGAUGUGGGAUGACCUAAUGACCAUCUAUGAAUACCAGUGAUGAGACCAAAAUGACAAGAAGACUGGUUAUUUAAACUUACCUGGUUGUGUUAUUUGCCUGCUGCUGCUGAUGAUUGGGCGAGCGAGUGGUGAGUCAACUACAAAACUACACACUACAAAAUCUCUUAGCUUCACUAAUCUGAUAAGUUUGCAAAGGUGGUUAGCACUGGCUACUGAUGGAAUCUUACUCUUGGCAACUCAGGCGUAAACUAGCAAAUGAAUUAGCAACUGGUUAAGACUGCCAAGCUUUGGUAACUUGCUGUUUGUCAACCCCCUGCAUCUCUCCAGCAUCACCAUCUCUUCCAGAUAUGGUAACCUCUGGCUCCAGGAAACCAACAUGGCAGCGGCCUGUGUGCCAAACUCAAGGC
Long non-coding RNA from Notolabrus celidotus (New Zealand spotty), 723 nucleotides. RefSeq lists it as uncharacterized. The transcript has 3 exons. NCBI's taxonomy places the organism in Eukaryota, Metazoa, Chordata, Actinopteri, Labriformes, Labridae. The record is from RefSeq and is a predicted model, not a curated record.